AUCAACAAAAUCUCUUUUUCACAUUGUUAAUUCGGGCAACAUCUGAGAUAUUAAAACAAAAUUGCUUUAGUCUUUAUUGUUGAUUGAAGAUCCCGUGUAGAUCAAACGUUGUGUCCUUAACCAGGACGUUUGGGAUUACUGAAAAUACCCCCAGCUGAAAUGUCUACAGAUAAAUUGCUAAAUGAACA
Molecule: long non-coding RNA, 188 nt
Organism: Bradysia coprophila
Lineage: Eukaryota; Metazoa; Arthropoda; Insecta; Diptera; Sciaridae
Source: RefSeq, a predicted model, not a curated record